This is a long non-coding RNA of Mauremys mutica (yellowpond turtle), 903 nucleotides long. RefSeq lists it as uncharacterized. The record is from RefSeq and is a predicted model, not a curated record. The transcript has 3 exons. NCBI's taxonomy places the organism in Eukaryota, Metazoa, Chordata, Testudines, Geoemydidae.
UGUGAGCUUUCAUUCCCCAGGUUAGUUUGUUCCUUGGCCCAGGACAAGGGAAGCCUGGUGUGAGCAGGUACCAGCGCUCCUGGGGGUUGAGCCAGGGCCGUUGUUGUUGAUCUGCCUUUAUGCAGCGUUGGAAACAUUCCUUUGGAAGCACAAGCUGCUGCCGGUGGGUUUCUGUGUCCCAGGCUUCCUGCCUUCCCGGACGGGGAUAGCUGGGAUGCUUGGGAUGUUUGACACUAUAAACUUUCCCUUCCAAAUGGCAGCCAGCCCAGCUGAGACAAAGGGCAGUGGGGCAGGGAUGAAACUGAUAUGGAGCCAACACAGACUGCUUGUGAGGCUAGAAAACCCAGCGGCACAGCUACAACCCCCAGCUGAUGGAUAGGCCCAGCAGAGAAAGUGAAGCCCUGUCUGGAUCAGUGAGAGGCCUGUAUACACCGAGGAGCUCCCAGGUCAGGGCAUCCUGUGCCGCUCUGAUCCUGCCAGAGCUCUUAUCUGCUAAACCACCAUGCAGCACAUGUUCUCCAUCCCAGCUGGGCCUGCCUGCGAUCUCACUGCCGUGAACCAGGAGGAAUCCAUCUGGACUCAGUGUCGGAGAGAGGAGAACAGGCCCAUAUUGUGCUGCUGGUGCGAGAGCACAUGGGCACUCGGGGGCACCACCGUGACACAGCUGACGAUUCACAAAGAGGCUGGCCUCAGAGGAGCUCACCAGGGAAUCACUAAGGUUGACUGAUGAUGUUACACAUCAUACAGCGAGGAAGAAACUUCCCUUCCCUGGGGAGCCGCAGGCUGGAUGUUUCCCAAACCCACAGAGCCCUUUCAAAUGUACAAAGGGAAUCAAAGCAGGCAACAGACACCACAGGACCUGAUGGGUUGUUUUAAUUCAGGCAAAUGUUUGCAAAUACUUUU